AUUGAACGCUGGCGGCAUGCCUUACACAUGCAAGUCGAACGGCAGCACGGGUGCUUGCACCUGGUGGCGAGUGGCGAACGGGUGAGUAAUACAUCGGAACAUGUCCUGUAGUGGGGGACAGCCCGGCGAAAGCCGGAUUAAUACCGCAUACGAUCUACGGAUGAAAGCGGGGGACCUUCGGGCCUCGCGCUAUAGGGUUGGCCGAUGGCUGAUUAGCUAGUUGGUGGGGUAAAGGCCUACCAAGGCGACGAUCAGUAGCUGGUCUGAGAGGACGACCAGCCACACUGGGACUGAGACACGGCCCAGACUCCUACGGGAGGCAGCAGUGGGGAAUUUUGGACAAUGGGCGAAAGCCUGAUCCAGCAAUGCCGCGUGUGUGAAGAAGGCCUUCGGGUUGUAAAGCACUUUUGUCCGGAAAGAAAUCCUUGGCCCUAAUACGGUCGGGGGAUGACGGUACCGGAAGAAUAAGCACCGGCUAACUACGUG
RNAcentral lists this ribosomal RNA (486 nucleotides) under uncultured bacterium. RNAcentral's name for it is "partial 16S ribosomal RNA". It matches the Rfam family "Bacterial small subunit ribosomal RNA", at positions 30 to 507 of the family's 1533-position model. The record is from RNAcentral.